AACUCAAAGGAAUUGACGGGGGCCCGCACAAGCGGAGGAACAUGUGGUUUAAUUCGAUGAUACGCGAGGAACCUUACCCGGGCUUAAAUUGCAGCGGAAUGAUGUGGAAACAUGUCAGUGAGCAAUCACCGCUGUGAAGGUGCUGCAUGGUUGUCGUCAGCUCGUGCCGUGAGGUGUCGGCUUAAGUGCCAUAACGAGCGCAACCCUUGUUGCCAGUUACUAACAGGUAAUGCUGAGGACUCUGGCAAGACUGCCAUCGUAAGAUGUGAGGAAGGUGGGGAUGACGUCAAAUCAGCACGGCCCUUACGUCCGGGGCUACACACGUGUUACAAUGGGGGGUACAGAGGGUCGCUACCACGCAAGUGGAUGCCAAUCCCCAAAACCUCUCUCAGUUCGGAUUGAAGUCUGCAACCCGACUUCAUGAAGCUGGAUUCGCUAGUAAUCGCGCAUCAGCCACGGCGCGGUGAAUACGUUCCCGGGCCUUGCACACACCGCCCGUC
Molecule: ribosomal RNA, 500 nt
Filed under: uncultured bacterium
Lineage: Bacteria
Description: bacterial SSU rRNA
Rfam family: Bacterial small subunit ribosomal RNA
Source: RNAcentral